GGGAAAUCAAAGCCUGGGUAAGUGCUGGAACCCCUGAGUCUCUCACUGCUUGGAGACGGGGUUUUAAAGGUUUAAGACAUGUGUUUGGAAAGUCCAGGACAUGUUGGCUUUCCUGCUAAGAAGAAAUGGAACACGUAUGUUGCUACCUGGCUCUGAAACAUGAGCAGAUGAGGGCAACAAAGAUGGCAAAGGGCCUGGAGACUCAGUCCAGUGCAGAAACGUAGAAGGAGCUGGGUUUGUUUAGCCUGGAAAAGAGAUGAUGAAGAGGUGAUAUGGCAGUCAUCUUCAAACAUCUGAAGGACUGGCAGACAGAACAGAGGUAGCUAACCUUCUUGGGGUUUCAUUAUGGCCAAGUCUCUGGAUGCUACAUGUAAAAGCUCUCAAGGCUGCCUUCCAGAAGGUGCUGCUGUUUUAAUUUAUGUUAUCAUACAUUAUUAAAUUCAGUAAUAUAGACAUGGACAAAUUUGGAGGGGGGGGGGAAGGUCUUGCUUUUUGGCAUCACAAUAACAAGGGACCUGCAGGAGCAGUCAGUAAAAUAUAUACCGUAUUUUUUGCACCAAAACACUCACUUUUUUCCUCCUAGAAAGUAAGGGGAAAUGUCUGUGCGUGUUAUGGAGGGAAUGCCUACGGGUGGCGGGGGGAUCUGCUGCAGUCGUGAGCAGAGGAUCCAUGGUUCCCCUUCCUUCCCUCCUCCGUGGCUCGCUUUGAAACAGCAAAGCGGGAGAAGAGCCGCAGAGUGGGGAGGAGAGAGGGACAGAGAGCCUACUUCUAUAAAGGAGCAAAGCGGGAGGGGAGAGGAGCCUUCUCCCCUUAUACCCCUCUUCUUCAUUAUUAGCAGCAUCCUUCUCCACCCACCCCACGCGUGCUUCUUCUCCCCUUAAACCCCUCUUCUGCAUUAUUAGCAGCAUCCUUCUCCACACACCCCACGUGUGUUCCUUGUCCCUUGAGUGCUUUUCCUUCCUUCCCCACUUAAAACGUGGUUACAAAGCAUGGAUCCACAUGGAUCCUCAGGAUUUUUGCAUUGGGCUACUCCAAACUCACUGUCAGAUCACAUGUCUGUGGCCACAGCAUGAACCACAAAAAUCAUAUAUCCACUGUUUCGUUUAGAAUAUUUUUUUUCUUGUUUUCCUCCUCUAAAACUACAUGCGUGUUAUGGUCUGGUGCGUGUUAUAGAGCGAAAAAUACGGUAUAUAUGUGGCAUGGCAUGGCAUGGCAGUAUCACAGCAGAGGACCCACAGGGGUGAAGGGAUUUCUGUGCCCAAUAGGAUUUUUGUGUGUGAUGUUUGAUUUUAAAAUGGCAAACACAUUGAGAGUCCUCCCUGCUUUAAUUUGCAAUGUGGCCCUCAUGACUAAUGGCUCUCUCCUCCCUAAAAGCUUAAUUUCCUUCUCAACUUACUUCUGCAUAAACAUGCAGAUGAUUAGGUUCUACUGGAGGUAAUGAUAUUGUAACAGUACACUUCCUUUUUUCCUUUCCUGUUACCUAUGUCAGUUCAUUUUUCCACUACAGAUUCUUAAUGAAGAACAGUGCAAGUGACAAUGCUGAUUUGGCUAACUUGCAUUUCCUUACACUAAUUCCCCCCCCCCCCCCUCCAGGCCAGUGCAGUAAUAGCCCCUGAGGAACUGAACCUUUUCCUUGGAACAACAGCACCAACAAGCAACAAUGCUUAAUCAAAGCACGUGCCAGGCAUUGCUGCUUUUGGAGACCCUCCCACAAAUAUUUCAGACUCCCAUGGAGCUGUUUGCCAUGUAGCAAACACAAUAGGGUAACUUAUCCCCAAGAAUGUACAUGGACACUGAAUUUCCAUCCUUGGAGCAGACAUGGAAUUUAUACCUAAACCAUCUUCAUUUCAGAAUAAUCCAAGGAAGAUUUGCAAAUUAUCCAGGCCUCAUAGAAUGCAAACCUGAGGAGGGAAGGAGGAAUUUCCUUCAGGUCACAACAGCAAGGAGAAUAACAAUGCUUUCUUGUAGCUUCAUAAAUCCUCUCCUUGCCAGUUGAUUAAAACAGUACUGCUUCUUCCUCCUCAGUUCUCUCUGUUGUAGC
Molecule: long non-coding RNA, 2041 nt
Filed under: Podarcis lilfordi (Lilford's wall lizard)
Lineage: Eukaryota; Metazoa; Chordata; Lepidosauria; Squamata; Lacertidae
Source: RNAcentral